RNAcentral lists this ribosomal RNA (477 nucleotides) under uncultured bacterium. RNAcentral's name for it is "partial 16S ribosomal RNA". It matches the Rfam family "Bacterial small subunit ribosomal RNA", at positions 28 to 506 of the family's 1533-position model. The record is from RNAcentral.
GAUGAACGCUAGCGGCAGGCCUAACACAUGCAAGUCGAGGGAGAAGCCCUUUCGGGGGCAGAAACCGGCGCACGGGUGCGUAACGCGUAUGCAACCUACCUUUCACAGGGGGAUAGCCCGAAGAAAUUUGGAUUAAUACCCCAUAAUAUUAUUGGAUGGCAUCAUUUGAUAAUUAAAACUGCGGUGGUGAAAGAUGGGCAUGCGUCCUAUUAGCUAGUUGGAGUGGUAACGGCACCCCAAGGCUACGAUAGGUAGGGGUCCUGAGAGGGAGAUCCCCCACACUGGGACUGAGACAGGGACCAGAAUCCGACGGGAGGCAGCAGUGAGGAAUAUUGGUCAAUGGUCGGAAGACUGAACCAGCCAUGCCGCGUGCAGGAAGAAUGCCUUAUGGGGUGUAAACUGCUUUUAUAUGGGAAGAAUAAGGCGUACGUGUACGUUGAUGACGGUACCAUAUGAAUAAGCAUCGGCUAACUCCGU